This 440-nucleotide ribosomal RNA is filed under the name uncultured bacterium. RNAcentral describes it as "partial 16S ribosomal RNA". It matches the Rfam family "Bacterial small subunit ribosomal RNA", at positions 338 to 795 of the family's 1533-position model. The record is from RNAcentral.
CCUACGGGGGGCAGCAGUGGGGGAUAUUGCACAAUGGGGGAAACCCUGAUGCAGCGACGCCGCGUGUGGGAAGACGGUCCUCUGGAUUGUAAACCACUGUUCCCAGGGACGAAGAUGACGGUCCCUGGGGAGGAAGCUCCGGCUAACUGCGUGACCGACGCCUAGGUAAUACGUAGGGAGCGCGCGUUGUCCGGGGUUACUGGGUGUAACGGGAGCGUAGGCGGAGAUGAAGGUUGGGUGGAAACGCUACGGGCCAAACUGGUCGUCGCACUCGAAACCGCGGCUCUUGAGUGAAGUAGAGGCAGGCGGAAUGCCUAGUGUAGCGGUGAAAUGCGUAGAUAUUAGGAAGAACACCAGUGGCGAAGGCGGCCUACUGGGCUUUUACUGACGCUGAGGCUCGAAAGUGUGGGUAGCAAACAGGAUUAGAUACCCUUGUAGUC